GUCUACGGCCAUACCACCCUAAACGCGCCCCAUCUCAUCUGAUCUCAGAAGCUAAGUAGGGUCGGGCCUGGUUAGUACUUGGAUAGGAGGCAGAAUGACUUUGGGCUGUUUCCA
This 114-nucleotide ribosomal RNA is filed under the name Tursiops truncatus (common bottlenose dolphin). The record is from RNAcentral. Lineage: Eukaryota; Metazoa; Chordata; Mammalia; Artiodactyla; Delphinidae.